UACGUAGGGUGCGAGCGUUGUCCGGAAUUAUUGGGCGUAAAGAGCUCGUAGGCGGUCUGUCGCGUCGGAUGUGAAAACCCAGGGCUCAACCCUGGGCCUGCAUUCGAUACGGGCAGACUAGAGUACGGCAGGGGAGACUGGAAUUCCUGGGUGUAGCGGUGAAAUGCGCAGAUAUCAGGAGGAACACCGGUGGCGAAGGCGGGGUCUCUGGGCCGUAACUGACGCUGAGGAGCGAAAGCGUGGGGAGCGAACAGG
Molecule: ribosomal RNA, 255 nt
Filed under: uncultured bacterium
Lineage: Bacteria
Description: partial 16S ribosomal RNA
Rfam family: Bacterial small subunit ribosomal RNA
Source: RNAcentral